This 180-nucleotide unclassified non-coding RNA is filed under the name uncultured Glomus. RNAcentral describes it as "partial internal transcribed spacer 2". The record is from RNAcentral. Lineage: Eukaryota; Fungi; Glomeromycota; Glomeromycetes; Glomerales; Glomeraceae.
AAAAUGAAACAUCGAUUUGUUGCUUGUUUGCAACAUUUCGGAGUUGGGUUAACUUUUGAUAUUCUCAAGUGACCUAAAAUUCAUUACCUCGGUAUGAUUAACGUUCUUAAAUGAUUUCGUUCUGAGUGCCGAAUUUAUUAGACGUGACUAUCUUAUAGCAUCACUUCUAUAAUUUUUGAA